This 253-nucleotide ribosomal RNA is filed under the name uncultured bacterium. RNAcentral describes it as "partial 16S ribosomal RNA". It matches the Rfam family "Bacterial small subunit ribosomal RNA", at positions 524 to 776 of the family's 1533-position model. The record is from RNAcentral.
UACAGAGGUGGCAAGCGUUGUUCGGAAUUACUGGGCGUAAAGGGCGCGUAGGCGGCCCUCUUAGUCGGACGUGAAAUCCCCAGGCUUAACUUGGGAACUGCGUUCGAUACUGGAGGGCUUGAGUGCGGGAGAGGGAUGUGGAAUUCCAGGUGUAGCGGUGAAAUGCGCAGAUAUCAGGAAGAACACCCGUGGCGAAAGCGGCUCUCUGGAACGGUACUGACGCUGAGACGCGAAAGCGUGGGGAGCGAACAGG